Molecule: unclassified non-coding RNA, 359 nt
Filed under: soil metagenome
Description: partial contains 5.8S ribosomal RNA, internal transcribed spacer 2, and large subunit ribosomal RNA
Rfam family: 5.8S ribosomal RNA (bases 1-120)
Source: RNAcentral
GAUGAAGAACGCAGUGAAAUGCGAUAAGUAAUGUGAAUUGCAGAAUUCAGUGAAUCAUCGAAUCUUUGAACGCACAUUGCGCCCGCCAGUAUUCUGGCGGGCAUGCCUGUCCGAGCGUCAUUUCAACCCUCGGGCCCCCCUCUGCGGGCGGCCCGGCGUUGGGGCUCAGGCGCCGUCUCUGCUCGGCGCCUGUCCCCUAAAUGCAGUGGCGGCCUCGCCGCUGCCUCCUCCGCGUAGUAGCACAAACCUCGCGGCUGGAAGGCGGCGCGGCCACGCCGUAAAACCCCCCAACUUUACCAAGGUUGACCUCGGAUCAGGUAGGAAUACCCGCUGAACUUAAGCAUAUCAAAAGCGGAGGA